CGCGUAGGCGGCGCGGUAAGUCACUUGUGAAAUCUCUGAGCUUAACUCAGAACGGCCAAGUGAUACUGCAGUGCUAGAGUGUGGAAGGGGCAAUCGGAAUUCUUGGUGUAGCAGUGAAAUGCGUAGAUAUCAAGAGGAACACCUGAGGUGAAGACGGGUUGCUGGGCCAACACUGACGCCGAGGCGCGAAGCCAGGGAGCAAACG
RNAcentral lists this ribosomal RNA (205 nucleotides) under uncultured bacterium. RNAcentral describes it as "partial 16S ribosomal RNA". It matches the Rfam family "Bacterial small subunit ribosomal RNA", at positions 568 to 774 of the family's 1533-position model. The record is from RNAcentral.